CAAAACAUAGCUUAACUAAAGCUCCUUGCUUACACCAAGAAAAUGUCUACUCACCCAGACUGUUUUGAAA
RNAcentral lists this transfer RNA (70 nucleotides) under Eleutherodactylus lentus (Virgin Islands robber frog). RNAcentral describes it as "tRNA-Val". Lineage: Eukaryota; Metazoa; Chordata; Amphibia; Anura; Eleutherodactylidae. The record is from RNAcentral.